This 450-nucleotide ribosomal RNA is filed under the name uncultured bacterium. RNAcentral's name for it is "partial 16S ribosomal RNA". It matches the Rfam family "Bacterial small subunit ribosomal RNA", at positions 338 to 795 of the family's 1533-position model. The record is from RNAcentral.
CCUACGGGUGGCUGCAGUGAGGAAUAUUGCGCAAUGGGGGAAACCCUGACGCAGCAACGCCGCGUGAGUGAGGAAGGUUUUCGGACCGUAAAGCUCUGUCGAGCGGGAAGAAGUGCAUGGUGGCUAAUAUCCAUUAUGCUUGACGGUACCGCUAAAGGAAGCACCGGCUAACUCCGUGCCAGCCGCCGCGGUAAUACGGGGGGUGCUAGCGUUCGUCGGAAUCGUGUGGGGGGCUGGGUGUGUAGGAUGUGAAAGCCCUGGGCUUAACCUAGGAAGUGCAUUUGAAACUGUUCAGCUUGAGUAAGGUAGAGGAAAGUGGAAUUCCUGGUGUAGAGGUGAAAUUCGUAGAUAUCAGGAGGAACACCGGUGGCGAAGGCGACUUUCUGGCCCUAUACUGACGCUGAGACGCGAGAGCGUGGGUAGCAAACAGGAUUAGAUACCCCUGUAGUC